Molecule: ribosomal RNA, 713 nt
Filed under: Coeloplana sp. PS-2014
Lineage: Eukaryota; Metazoa; Ctenophora; Tentaculata; Platyctenida; Coeloplanidae
Description: eukaryotic LSU rRNA
Rfam family: 5.8S ribosomal RNA (bases 274-427)
Source: RNAcentral
GCGGAAGGAUCAUUAACGAAUCCCAAUCUAUACUUGCCUUAGCGGUUGUAACUUGAAGCUGUCCUUCGGGGUCAUGGGAAGACCGAGGCAUUGUCUCGCUCUCCCAUGUUAAAUCGUCAGUGGGUAAACCGGCGUGCGUGUGUGUGCAAGCACACACACACGCUGGGACGGGCCCCGAAUUAGUUUUUUUCACCCACUUUUUCUAACUACCUAAACAACCGUUGCUAAUCCUCUUGACAUACAUGUCGAGGGAGUAUGCCUUUAAUAGAGAACAACUUUUAACGGUGGAUCUCUUGGCUCGUGCAUCGAUGAAGAACGCAGCAAACUGCGAUAAGUAAUGUGAAUUGCAGAAUUUAGUGAAUCAUCGAAUCUUUGAACGCAAAUGGCGCACCUGGGUAUUCCCAGGCGCACGCCUGUCUGAGCGUCGUUUCUCACAUUCUACACACACAUGUGUGUGUGCGUAGAGUUAUGAGGUGUCCGAGUGUUACUCUACACGCGGUCCCUUGAAGUGCAGUGCAAUCCCGAGCGUUCUUUGCGUAUCCCUCGUGGUGCGUAUCGAGCUCGGUGUGGUAGUAUUACUCUAUUAUCACCGGCCGAUACGUUGUAACAGCUACAAGGUGCAUACACGUACGUUGGGGUUUGAAAAAAGCGGUCAACUAUACUGUUGACCAUCAUAGACCUCAGAUCAGACGAGACUACCCGCUGAACUUAAG